CUCUUGCCCCACAGCCUCUCGCUCUUGCCCCACAUUUUGCAAAUAAAAUGUAACAGCUGAGAUCAAUUAUGGCACUGUGCAUGCACCUCAGGAGGUACUCACUUGGCCAUGGGCUACUUUUGUUAUAUAAGCUCCACCUGGAAAGCCCUGGGGGCUACGUUAUGUGAUGUUAUGGCUGCUGCUACGGCUGCUAUGCCAGACAGGAGAGAAUAAAUGUGUCUGCAGUUCCUACUGCUCCUUGCAUCUUCUUCCAGCCUUUUAACUCACUCCUCUCUUACCCUGGGUUCAACAAAGAGUGCGCACAGUGAGAAACAGAGACACAGUCGGCGCUCUGAGCAGCAUCAGCGAAACAAGGUGGCAUAGGUGGCUUUGAAAGCGCUGGCACUAUUGGCAAUAAACCCAGUGUGCUGUUUCUCAAACUGUGGUCCUUGGACCAAUUGCAUUAGAAUUAUCUGGGGAAACUGCUGCUGCUAAGUCGCUUCAGUCAUGUCCGACUCUGUGCGACCCCACAGACGGCAGCCCACCAGGCUCCCCCGUCCCUGGGAUUCUCCAGGCAAGAACACUGGAGUGGGUUUCCAUUUCCUUCUCCAAUGCAUGAAAGUGAAAAGUGAAAGUGAAGUUGCUCAGUCGUAUCCAACUCUUCUCGACCCCAUGGACUGCAGCCUACUAGGCUCUUCUGCCCAUGGGACCCUCCAGGCAAGAGUACUGGAGUGGGGUGCCAUUGCCUUCUCCGAUCUGGGGAAACUAGGAGCACACAGAUUCUAUGUUUCUUUCGCAGACUUACUAAAGCAGAAGUUCUGGGGUAUUAGCUAAGAAUCUUCAUUUUUAGCCAGUUUCCUAGGUGACUCAUGUGCAAGCUGAAAUCUGAGAACUAGUCGUCUGCACAAAAGAGGCAGUGAAAUGGUUAAACAGUCAAACCCUGAGCAGCUGCCUUUAAAGAAGGGAAGUUUAAUAUUGUUUCACAGAAGGCAUUGCAACUUCUUUCACUGGAGCAAUGGAAAAGGGUUGUUGUUUUUGAUAUCAGAUUCAGUCUAAAAGAUUCUUCCAGUCCAAAGCUGAUGCCCACCGCUGCAGUGUUCAGGAAUAAAAUGAAAGAAAUAUAGAGACAGAGCUAACUCAUCAUUCAAAAAGAGUGGAGCUCGAUUUUUGCAAUGUAGUAAAAUAUACAACUUAGCAACUAAACAGCAAAAACAACUGAUAUACAACUUAGGGGCAGUAAAUGGAGAUAUUGUCUGUUGAAGUAGAGUCUGUGAUCAAAUACUGGUUGCUCUUAGUCUUUCCCCAGCUGGUACUGAUCAUAGCCAGGUACAGUGUUCAGCUAGUUCCUUUGAGUACACCUGGGUAAAACUUCCACCUGUUCCUAAUGGUGAAGCUCGGCAGUUACUUUCAGAGCCAAACUCUAAUUUUUGUAUCUGCUGUGCAUUAUUAAUUAUGCUGAAGCUCAACAUUUACUAAUUUGUACAGAGCUCUUAUUCCAAUCUGGGUCAUGGGAAAUCCACAGUCAUUUUUUUGGUCACCAUCCUACAGUCUGGAGUUGGAGAUCCCUUCAAGGGAUCCUGGUGAAGAUAACUGGGCCAGUUAGUUCCCACAGCUCCAUCCAGACCCUGAGGGUCAAGGAGGCAGAGUAAGUCACCAGCACCCAGAGAGAUCAAGUCCUAACACGUUAUUUCUCCCAAUAUUAUCCUCUCUUUUACCAACAGAUCUCAAAAGACUACAAUUUAAUUCGAAGACAAAGUGGAAGGAGUAGCUUUUUCUAAUUGAGUGAAAAGUUCUGUGACUAGAUUCAUUCCCGUGUGGUUCUUAAACCCUGGAUUGUAUUUGUGCUACAUUUGAUUUCCCACCCCAGAAUGUAAGAAAACAAUUGUAUUAGACACUAUAAAAGCAUUGUUCCGUUCUGCAACUAGAUGGUGAUGUAUGGAGAGCAUUGUGAACAUGCUUAAUGCCACUGAAUUAUGUACUUUAAAGUGAUUAAAUUGUGGAUUUUAUGUUACAGAUCUUUUACC
Molecule: long non-coding RNA, 2003 nt
Organism: Bos taurus (domestic cattle)
Lineage: Eukaryota; Metazoa; Chordata; Mammalia; Artiodactyla; Bovidae
Source: Ensembl